ACUUUGCAAUGCGGGAAACCGUGACAAGGGAACUCUGAGUGCCCGUAAAAUCGGGCUGUCCAUCAGUUUAAAUAACUGGUGAAGAAAGGGCCGGGCAAGACCGGUGCCAGCCGCCGCGGUAAUACCGGCGGCUCGAGUGGUGGCCACUAUUACUGGGCUUAAAGCGUUCGUAGCUGGUUUGUUAAGUCUCUGGGGAAAUCUUCCGGCUUAACCGGAAGGCGUCUCAGGGAUACUGGCAGACUAGGGACCGGAAGAGGUGAGAGGUACUCCAGGGGUAGGAGUGAAAUCCUGUAAUCCUUGGGGGACCACCUGUGGCGAAGGCGUCUCACCAGAACGGCUCCGACAGUGAGGGACGAAAGCUGGGGGAGCAAACCGG
This 376-nucleotide ribosomal RNA is filed under the name uncultured archaeon. RNAcentral describes it as "bacterial SSU rRNA". It matches the Rfam family "Archaeal small subunit ribosomal RNA", at positions 347 to 727 of the family's 1478-position model. The record is from RNAcentral.